CCCUGAUGUUAGCGGCGGACGGGUGAGUAACACGUGGGUAACCUGCCUGUAAGACUGGGAUAACUCCGGGAAACCGGGGCUAAUACCGGAUGGUUGUUUGAACCGCAUGGUUCAAACAUAAAAGGUGGCUUCGGCUACCACUUACAGAUGGACCCGCGGCGCAUUAGCUAGUUGGUGAGGUAACGGCUCACCAAGGCAACGAUGCGUAGCCGACCUGAGAGGGUGAUCGGCCACACUGGGACUGAGACACGGCCCAGACUCCUACGGGAGGCAGCAGUAGGGAAUCUUCCGCAAUGGACGAAAGUCUGACGGAGCAACGCCGCGUGAGUGAUGAAGGUUUUCGGAUCGUAAAGCUCUGUUGUUAGGGAAGAACAAGUACCGUUCGAAUAGGGCGGUACCUUGACGGUACCUAACCAGAAAGCCACGGCUAACUACGUGCCAGCAGCCGCGGUAAUACGUAGGUGGCAAGCGUUGUCCGGAAUUAUUGGG
Molecule: ribosomal RNA, 489 nt
Filed under: Bacillus subtilis
Lineage: Bacteria; Bacillati; Bacillota; Bacilli; Caryophanales; Bacillaceae
Description: bacterial SSU rRNA
Rfam family: Bacterial small subunit ribosomal RNA
Source: RNAcentral